Molecule: non-coding RNA, 81 nt
Organism: Flavobacterium segetis
Lineage: Bacteria; Pseudomonadati; Bacteroidota; Flavobacteriia; Flavobacteriales; Flavobacteriaceae
Source: Rfam
AACUAGCCGCGAUUGUAGUGGAAAUCCUUUUUAUGAGCCUUUUAGCGAAUAAAAAGAUUGCAAUGGAAAGCGGGAGAAAUG